AUGGUGGCUUGUGGGCGGAUAUUUCUCAGACCUAAGUUGUUGCCGCUGGACCGUGGUUACAUUCAUCCUAGCUUGGAGGAAAUGGUGCGGGAAGAUAUGCAUGUGCAGGGCGAAGAAGUGGACGAAGGCCGAAGCAGCAAUCUCUGCCUCCCUAUCGCUGCGUCCUGCUCCUCAAUAUGUCACCUUAGUCAUGGCCGCCUUAUCCCUCAUGCUGCUGAUUUGAAUCUGCCCUACUCUUCUUCUCCUAGACUGCUCGAGCGCUUCAGCGGGUGCCUUGCCGACGACAGGGAAGGAAGGACCAGAGCAAAAGCCACGAAAUUGAGGUACGCAGAAGAUGAACAAACCUGA
RNAcentral lists this ribosomal RNA (348 nucleotides) under Triticum aestivum (bread wheat). RNAcentral's name for it is "partial small subunit ribosomal RNA". Lineage: Eukaryota; Viridiplantae; Streptophyta; Magnoliopsida; Poales; Poaceae. The record is from RNAcentral.